ACGAACGCUGGCGGCGUGCUUAACACAUGCAAGUCGAACGGAAAGGCCCUGCUUUUGUGGGGUGCUCGAGUGGCGAACGGGUGAGUAACACGUGAGUAACCUGCCCUUGACUUUGGGAUAACUUCAGGAAACUGGGGCUAAUACCGGAUAGGAGCUCCUGCUGCAUGGUGGGGGUUGGAAAGUUUCGGCGGUUGGGGAUGGACUCGCGGCUUAUCAGCUUGUUGGUGGGGUAGUGGCUUACCAAGGCUUUGACGGGUAGCCGGCCUGAGAGGGUGACCGGCCACAUUGGGACUGAGAUACGGCCCAGACUCCUACGGGGGGCAGCAGUGGGGAAUAUUGCACAAUGGGCGGAAGCCUGAUGCAGCGACGCCGCGUGCGGGAUGACGGCCUUCGGGUUGUAAACCGCUUUCGCCUGUGACGAAGCGUGAGUGACGGUAAUGGGUAAAGAAGCACCGGCUAACUACGUG
RNAcentral lists this ribosomal RNA (467 nucleotides) under uncultured bacterium. Its description in RNAcentral is "partial 16S ribosomal RNA". It matches the Rfam family "Bacterial small subunit ribosomal RNA", at positions 29 to 507 of the family's 1533-position model. The record is from RNAcentral.